CUCAGGAUUCUCAGCAAGGAAUCAGUGCCUCCUGGGUUAUGCAUUUCCCAGAGGAGUCUGUCUCGAAUAAUAAUUUCCUAUUAGGUUGCAUUAAAGAAAUAUAAAAUGCUAAUAACUGUUAGCAAUGCAAAGCAGGGGGCAGAGGGGUCUCUCUGCCAUGGUAUUCUUACAGAGAAAUCCUUCUCAAGUACUGUUCUCUCCAUUGUGGCCCAACCAAGGAACAGGACAUAACUGCACUAAAUGUCUUUGACGAAGCAUCAGGAGAAACUAGAAUGUCGUGCUGUACCGCAGUGGGCAAGGAGAGGGAAACUGGGCAGGUGUCUAAAACUUCCCUCAGCUUCCAGGCACAUGGACAUUUGCAACUCGAAUUUUAUAUUUUAGAAUCAAUGAAUGGUUCUCUCAGGACAGAAUAAACACCCGAGUUCAGAAAAAGCCUUGCCUUAAAGAAUGUUCCUGUGCCACAGUUAGUUGCCUCGUCUCCUGUGACCUUGCAGCUCUCUGAGACUCUGUCAGAUGCUGUCUCUGUCCCUCCCAGGGCUACUCCAGGGAGACAUUCUGCCAGGUGGUUUCCCCUACACUGCUACUGAGUUGUGAUAAGUAACAGGUAAAGCUACCCUACUUAAGUUUGUAUGGACGACUGGCUCAGAAUCACCAACACAAUACUCAGGUUACAGAGAUAAAAAGGACUUUAAACCUGAAGUAACUGUUGAAGUGGGAAAACGGAGAAUAAGCAUGUGUGAUGAGCAUUCCUCUGAAGAGGACUUCUGGAGAGCAACCAGUGAAAUACCAGGAGGAGGGGAGACCUCUGCUGAAGGUUUUUGGAACUGAGUCUCUUGACUGCAACACCAAGUGGGCCCGAAGGAGUGAGCUCUGCCCACUUGGGGCUUCCUGAAAGGUCCGUUGGGGCUUCAGCUACAACACAUGGCUAACAAUGGAGGAAGAGGGGGCAGGGGCAACAAGGGCCAAAUGAAAGUUACCAUUUGGCCUGUGACAAACCUGGGAACAACUGCCUGCUGCCUGCGCGCUCUCCACCCCUCAGAUGUGAAUGAGGCCUUCCUGCCAAGAGACCUCCAAUACCCUUAUCUCCAGGCCACAUAUGAGAGCAGACCGAUUCCAUGUUAGACUUAUGAUACCUGAAUUUGCACCCAGGAAGGGGGAUGCUGCAAACAGCUUACCUUCAGUUACGACCAGGUCAGUCCCGAUUUCUCCCAUCUCACUUUCUCUUAGACAAAAUCCCUGAGAGCCAACUACUUACUCUACCCACCCCAAAAUCUUCUCCACCAAACCACACGGGAACCUGGCAGUCCAGCAGAGGCCCUGUCAGAGGGCAGAGAAUGCUGCAGGGAGAGCGUAGGUCAGAUCUAGGGAGGAAUGCCAGGCCAGAAACCCCCUUGACAGCCUUGUGGACAGGAUGUCUGAGGGUCCCUCCCUCCAGUUCCUUUUUUUCUGAGAUGGAGUCUCGCUCUGUUGCCCAGGCUGGAGUGCAGUGGCGCGAUCUCGGCUCACUGCAAGCUCCGCCUCCCGGGUUCAAGUGAUUCUCUGCCUCAGCCUCCCGAGUAGCUGGGAUUACAGGCGCGUGGUACCAUGCCCACCUAAUUUUUGUAUUUUUAGUACAGAUGGGGUUUCACCAUGUUGGCCAGGUUGGUCUUGAACUCCUGAUCCUUGUGAUCCGCCCGCCUCAGCCUCCCAAAGUGCUGAGAUUAUAGAUGUGAGCCACUGCGCCUGGCUCCCUUCCCCACCGACUCUUAGGCCCAUGUUAGCAGCCAGCAGUGGGUAAUCUACAGUCUCUCUAAUUCUGAGCUCCUUUGUGGUCACAUACAGGAAGGGAGGCCAAGUGGCCAUGAGACCACACUAGGGUAACACCAGACUUACCAGCCACCCUCAGGAGAGAACCGAAGCAGGCAAGCCCCCAGCUCUCGGGAGAACCACCUUCUCCUUUGGCUUCAGGCAGGUGAGGAGGCUGUACUCCUGUCACAGCUCGAGAAUUAUAAAGGAUGCUUACAAAAGAACUGUUUUUCCCUACCGUCAGUUAUAAAAGCCAGUAAGUUGUCUCCCUGUAACUAAGAGCUCAAGUGCCUAACACUCUUUCCUCUUCAUCAGAGUAACUAGGAAUCAACAUUUUUGCAGCAACGGGACUUUGAGAGUUAUGGUUUCCAAAAUUAAAAU
RNAcentral lists this long non-coding RNA (2166 nucleotides) under Homo sapiens (human). RNAcentral's name for it is "HSALNT0055145". The record is from RNAcentral. Lineage: Eukaryota; Metazoa; Chordata; Mammalia; Primates; Hominidae.